Molecule: ribosomal RNA, 1392 nt
Filed under: Salmonella enterica
Lineage: Bacteria; Pseudomonadati; Pseudomonadota; Gammaproteobacteria; Enterobacterales; Enterobacteriaceae
Description: partial 23S ribosomal RNA
Rfam family: Bacterial large subunit ribosomal RNA
Source: RNAcentral
GGCGUGAUGACGAGGCACCACGGUGCUGAAGCAACAAAUGCCCUGCUUCCAGGAAAAGCCUCUAAGCCUCAGGUAACAUCAAAUCGUACCCCAAACCGACACAGGUGGUCAGGUAGAGAAUACCAAGGCGCUUGAGAGAACUCGGGUGAAGGAACUAGGCAAAAUGGUGCCGUAACUUCGGGAGAAGGCACGCUGACACGUAGGUGAAGUGGUUUACCCAUGGAGCUGAAGUCAGUCGAAGAUACCAGCUGGCUGCAACUGUUUAUUAAAAACACAGCACUGUGCAAACACGAAAGUGGACGUAUACGGUGUGACGCCUGCCCGGUGCCGGAAGGUUAAUUGAUGGGGUCAGCGCAAGCGAAGCUCCUGAUCGAAGCCCCGGUAAACGGCGGCCGUAACUAUAACGGUCCUAAGGUAGCGAAAUUCCUUGUCGGGUAAGUUCCGACCUGCACGAAUGGCGUAAUGAUGGCCAGGCUGUCUCCACCCGGGACUCAGUGAAAUUGAACUCGCUGUGAAGAUGCAGUGUACCCGCGGCAAGACGGAAAGACCCCGUGAACCUUUACUAUAGCUUGACACUGAACACUGGUCCUUGAUGUGCAGGAUAGGUGGGAGGCUUUGAAGUGUGGACGCCAGUCUGCAUGGAGCCAUCCUUGAAAUACCACCCUUUAAUGGCUGGUGUUCUAACGUGGGCCCGUGAACCGGGUUGCGGACAGUGUCUGGUGGGUAGUUUGACUGGGGCGGUCUCCUCCUAAAGAGUAACGGAGGAGCACGAAGGUUGGCUAAUCCUGGUCGGACAUCAGGAGGUUAGUGCAAUGGCAUAAGCCAGCUUGACUGCGAGCGUGACGGCGCGAGCAGGUGCGAAAGCAGGUCAUAGUGAUCCGGUGGUUCUGAAUGGAAGGGCCAUCGCUCAACGGAUAAAAGGUACUCCGGGGAUAACAGGCUGAUACCGCCCAAGAGUUCAUAUCGACGGCGGUGUUUGGCACCUCGAUGUCGGCUCAUCACAUCCUGGGGCUGAAGUAGGUCCCAAGGGUAUGGCUGUUCGCCAUUUAAAGUGGUACGCGAGCUGGGUUUAGAACGUCGUGAGACAGUUCGGUCCCUAUCUGCCGUGGGCGCUGGAAGAUUGAGGGGGGCUGCUCCUAGUACGAGAGGACCGGAGUGGACGCAUCACUGGUGUUCGGGUUGUCAUGCCAAUGGCACUGCCCGGUAGCUACAUGCGGAAGAGAUAAGUGCUGAAAGCAUCUAAGCACGAAACUUGCCCCGAGAUGAAUCUUCCCUGAGCCUUUAAGGCUCCUGAAGGAACGUUGAAGACGACGACGUUGAUAGGCCGGGUGUGUAAGCGCAGCGAUGCGUUGAGCUAACCGGUACUAAUGAACCGUGAGGCUUAACCUUACA